RNAcentral lists this transfer RNA (77 nucleotides) under Cronobacter sakazakii. RNAcentral describes it as "tRNA-Arg". It matches the Rfam family "tRNA". From Rfam's summary of the family: Transfer RNA (tRNA) molecules are approximately 80 nucleotides in length. Their secondary structure includes four short double-helical elements and three loops (D, anti-codon, and T loops). Further hydrogen bonds mediate the characteristic L-shaped molecular structure. tRNAs have two regions of fundamental functional importance: the anti-codon, which is responsible for specific mRNA codon recognition, and the 3' end, to which the tRNAs corresponding amino acid is attached (by aminoacyl-tRNA synthetases). tRNAs cope with the degeneracy of the genetic code in two manners: having more than one tRNA (with a specific anti-codon) for a particular amino acid; and 'wobble' base-pairing, i.e. permitting non-standard base-pairing at the 3rd anti-codon position. The record is from RNAcentral. Lineage: Bacteria; Pseudomonadati; Pseudomonadota; Gammaproteobacteria; Enterobacterales; Enterobacteriaceae.
GUGGCAUUAGCUCAGUUGGAUAGAGCAACGGCCUUCUAAGCCGUUGGUCACAGGCUCAAAUCCUGCAUGCCGCACCA